RNAcentral lists this unclassified non-coding RNA (253 nucleotides) under uncultured Nocardiaceae bacterium. RNAcentral's name for it is "contains 16S-23S intergenic spacer region". It matches the Rfam family "Bacterial small subunit ribosomal RNA", at positions 524 to 776 of the family's 1533-position model. Lineage: Bacteria; Bacillati; Actinomycetota; Actinomycetes; Mycobacteriales; Nocardiaceae. The record is from RNAcentral.
UACGUAGGGUGCAAGCGUUGUCCGGAAUUACUGGGCGUAAAGAGUUCGUAGGCGGUUUGUCGCGUCGUUUGUGAAAACUCACAGCUCAACUGUGAGCCUGCAGGCGAUACGGGCAGACUUGAGUACUGCAGGGGAGACUGGAAUUCCUGGUGUAGCGGUGAAAUGCGCAGAUAUCAGGAGGAACACCGGUGGCGAAGGCGGGUCUCUGGGCAGUAACUGACGCUGAGGAACGAAAGCGUGGGGAGCAAACAGG